This 58-nucleotide non-coding RNA is filed under the name Streptococcus suis. RNAcentral's name for it is "Lacto-rpoB RNA". It matches the Rfam family "Lacto-rpoB RNA". The record is from RNAcentral. Lineage: Bacteria; Bacillati; Bacillota; Bacilli; Lactobacillales; Streptococcaceae.
AUUUGUCGUCUGUCUUGUUUGAAAUCUUGUCCAAACAAGACUUGCAGCAGUUAAAUCA